UUUUUUUUCCACUAUAGUUAGAAGAUACUGAGUAUAGUUCCCUGUGCUAUAAGCAGCUCCUUUCUCUUUUUUUUUGUUUGUUUGUUUGUUUGUUUUUGGCCAUACCCAUGGCAUGUGGAAAUUCCCGGGCCAGGGAAUGAACCUGUGCUGCAGCAGUGACAAUGCCAGAUCCUUAACCUGCUGAGCCACCAGGGAACUCCUACAGUAGGUCCUUCUUCCUAUUUCUUCUUAAGUGCGUUUCAGUGUCCUCCUAGGAAUCUCCUAGGAACCUGUCCUUUUUACCUGAAUGGUCUAAUUCUCUUCCUUUUGAGGUUAAAUUUCACUAAUAUGGAAUUUAUUUACUUACUUAAUUUUUAAAAUUUUUAUUUUGGUUGUACCCGUGGUAUGCAUGAGUUCCUGGGGCCGGGGAUGGAACCUGUGCCACAGACAUGACCAGAGUCAUAUAGGAGUGACAACACCAGAUCCUUUUUUUUUUUUGGCCUUUUCUAGGGCUGCUCCCACGGCAUAUGGAGGUUCCCAGGCUAGGGGUCCAAUCAGAGCUACAACUGCUGGCCACAGCCACAGCCACAACGCCAGAUCUGAGCCUUGUCUGUGACCUACACCUCAACUCACAGCAACGCCAGAUCCCUGACCCACUGAGCAAGGCCAGGGAUCAAACCCGUAUCCCCAUGGACACUAGUCAGAUUCUUUUCCUCUGCGCCACAAUGGGAAUGCCCUGUUUUUCUUUCUUUCUUUUUUUCAGGGCUGCACCUGCAGCAUAUGGGGAAUAUGCUGGCAAGGGGUCAAAUCGGAGCUGUAGCUGCCAGCCUACGUCACAGCCAUGGCAACCUGGGAUCUGAGCCACACCUGCAACCUACAACACAGCUCACGGCAACACUGGAACCUUAACCCACUGACUGAGGCCAGGGAUCAAACCCACAUCUUCAUGGAUACUAGUUAGGUUCUCAACGCACUGAGCCACAAUGGGGACCCCAAAACUGUUUUCCUGUGAGUCAUUCCAGCAAGCGAUUAAACCUGAGGGUGGGGUUGAGGGGAUCACCCACCCCCGACUUCACAACUGGGUGCAUCAGAAGGACGGGUGGCCUGGACUUGCCCCUGGGUCUGGCAUGGGGGCGUCUGGGGGCAGAGCCCCAAGGCCUGUGAGUCUGAUGCUGACCCUGGAAGGUCGGUGUCAGGACAGGUGGGACUGUGUGACAUGCAGCUGGUGUCAGAGAAUUGGCUGGGAAAAUACCAUACAUUUGCUAUGGAACUGCUGAGGGUAACGCGAUGACAGGCUCGUUAAUGCAGAGCAGACACAUAAAACAAUGGUCCUUUCCCCUCAGAGUUAAUCUCGUUGUGGGAGCAGGACAUGUGCACAGGGAAAAGGAAUCAACACAAGACAAGACGUGAUGCCCGUAGUAGGAGCGUCAAUAAAACCAGGGUCUUGUUUGUGGUCAGGGACAUAAAAGGGCUUCAUAAGAAGCCAGGGCUUGGGAGUUUUGGCAGCAGAAACGAAUCCAACUAGGAACCAUGAGGUUGCGGGUUCAAUUCCCGGCCCUGCUCAGUGGGUUAAGGAUCUGGCAUCACCUUGAGCUGUGGUGUAGGUCGCAGACGCGGCUCGGACCUAGCAUGGCUCUCACGUCAAUGCAGGAUCCUUAACCCACUGAGCGAGGCCAGGGAUCGAACCCGAAACCUCACAGACACUAUGUCAGGUUUUUAACCCACUGAGACACAAUAGGAAUCCAAUAAAUAGGAUUUGAGUAGAAAGAAGGCAAAGACAGGACAUUCCAAAAAUACAUUAUGAACAAAGACCAAGGUGCCGGAGUAAGGAAAAUGUAUUCACGGGGCAAAAAUAACAUUCGCGUGUGGAGACGAGGGUUCUGUUUUGGGACCAGAGGAGCCGAGGAGGCUUUGCAGCCUCAGGCUCAGUGGGAUCAGGACGCACAAGUAGCAGGAUGCCAGGCUGAAAGUUUAGCCUUCAUCUGAUAGGAAAUCGGGAAUCAGCACAUUUUCUUUUUCUUUCUUUCUUUUUUUUUUUUUUUUUUUUUUNCUUUUUAGGGCUGCACUUGCAGCAUAUGGAGAUUCCUAGGCUAGGGGUCUAAUUGGAGCUACAGCUACC
Molecule: long non-coding RNA, 2098 nt
Filed under: Sus scrofa (pig)
Lineage: Eukaryota; Metazoa; Chordata; Mammalia; Artiodactyla; Suidae
Description: lncRNA (ENSSSCG00055008019.1)
Source: RNAcentral